RNAcentral lists this ribosomal RNA (257 nucleotides) under uncultured bacterium. Its description in RNAcentral is "partial 16S ribosomal RNA". It matches the Rfam family "Bacterial small subunit ribosomal RNA", at positions 524 to 778 of the family's 1533-position model. The record is from RNAcentral.
UACGUAGGGGGCUAGCGUUGUCCCGGAAUCAUUGGGCGUAAAGCGCGUGUAGGCGGUCCGGUAAGUCCGCUGUGAAAGUCGAGGGCUCAACCCUCGAAUGCCGGUGGAUACUGUCGGGCUUGAGUACGGGAGAGGCGAGUGGAAUUCCUGGUGUAGCGGUGAAAUGCGCAGAUAUCAGGAGGAACACCGAUGGCGAAGGCAGCUCGCUGGGACGGUACUGACGCUGAGGCGCGAAAGCGUGGAGGAGCGAACAGGAC